Molecule: ribosomal RNA, 472 nt
Filed under: uncultured bacterium
Lineage: Bacteria
Description: bacterial SSU rRNA
Rfam family: Bacterial small subunit ribosomal RNA
Source: RNAcentral
ACUCCUACGGGAGGCAGCAGUGGGGAAUAUUGCACAAUGGGGGAAACCCUGAUGCAGCCAUGCCGCGUGUGUGAAGAAGGCCUUCGGGUUGUAAAGCACUUUCAGUAGGGAGGAAGGUAGUGUAGUUAACACCUGCAUUAUUUGACGUUACCUACAGAAGAAGCACCGGCUAACUCCGUGCCAGCAGCCGCGGUAAUACGGAGGGUGCAAGCGUUAUCCGGAAUCAUUGGGCGUAAAGCGUCCGCAGGCGGUUCUUUAAGUCAAAUAUUAAAUUACGAUGCCCAACAUCGUAGCCGUAUUUGAAACUGGAGAACUAGAGUCAUUCAGAGGUGCGUGGAAUUCUGUGUGUAGGGGUAAAAUCCGUAGAUACACAGAGGAACACCAAAAGCGAAGGCAGCGCACUGGGAAUGUACUGACGCUCAUGGACGAAAGCGUAGGUAGCGAACGGGAUUAGAUACCCUGUAGGUCAGUC